Long non-coding RNA from Cryptomeria japonica (Japanese cedar), 2145 nucleotides. RefSeq lists it as uncharacterized. The record is from RefSeq and is a predicted model, not a curated record. NCBI's taxonomy places the organism in Eukaryota, Viridiplantae, Streptophyta, Pinopsida, Cupressales, Cupressaceae. The transcript has 6 exons.
GUCAAUGCUUCUCCGACGGCAGCGGCUUUAUGCGAGGCGUUCACAGUGUUCAUUAUCAAUGGCGGGAUCGCGGGAAGGAAUGGAGGGGUUUUAUUUAACCUACAAAAUCCUCCCAUAUUUUCCCAUCCAGCUAGCAGAGGCAGGAGCUACGGGGAAGCAGGAGCACCGAGAGCAGAGGCAACAAACCAAGCGUUUAUUCAGAACCUCAAGAUUCUGAAGCAUCCGUGAUUCAGAACCUCCAACUGAUGUCAUUUCGUGUACUGGUUUUCCAGCUCCAUAUCGAGGAGUUUGAGAUCUUCAACAGUUUUCGAUGCCAUAGCCGGCCCAAGGGUCGAAUCAGGCUGUUGGAAGAAGUUCACACAAGAUGAUUGAAGCUGCAAUGCAAUCAACUACAAAGGGAAAGAUCCAAACAAUUAGGCAAGCUUACUUUCCAAGCAUUCUUCAAAUUUUAGGGGUGACUGGAAGAGAAGAUUCUUUGUUCUCGAUGGCUGUGGAAUAUUGUAUUAUUACCGCCAACAAGACUGGGGCAAGCAAAUGGGCCUGUGAUGAUUAAAUAUACCAUUGCUUUGUAGAAUUUGGGACAUAUAAAGAACUUCUUCGCUCCCAGAUAUAUUGGAAAGUAUCAACGAGUAUAUCGAUGAUGCUGAAAUGAUGGAUAAAAUGACUACCAAGAGCCGAUGUGAAUUGAAACACUGACCUGUUCACACUGAGGAUUAGAAUCAGACCAUGUAGGUGCCAACUCACAAACAUAAAUGUAUCGUUCAAAAUUUCGGUACAUUCUCUUUGUGUUGCUAGAGCUAGAUAGAUAUUGUAAGGUUUUAUUGAAGAAACACACUUGUUUUAUUUUCAAGGCAACAAAAAGUUGUUCAAUACAAAAACACAAAAUGACUGGCAAUGGUCACAUUCUCAACCAUUAUUUAGACUUAAAACUCACUGCUAAACCAAAGGGUGUUUUGAGACCCAAGAUUCUGAAGGAUAAAAUUAAAACCAAAGGGUGUUUUGAGACCCAAGAUUUUGAAGGAUAAAAUUAUUUUUAAAGGGUGGUAGCUCAAUGGACGAGUACCUGCUUUACAAGCAGGAGGAUGGUGGUUCAAUUCCAUCAUGCCCUAACAUAUGUGUAAAUGUGCACCAAUAAUGAGGUUGAAACCGAGAGCUGUUUAUCCAGAAACAGCAUGGACAACAAUGUGACAGUCCUUUAUUUUAAAGGUUGGUGUGCUUUGGUUGGCUUGUAGUAUGCUUAUUUACUGUAGGGACUGUAGCCAUGGUAAGUUGCCUUGUUUUUCACUUUUCAGAAUUGAGAAUGGUUGAUCUUAUUUCGUAGUAUUUCUUUCUUGAGAAAUUUGCUGUUAAAAAUUAAUGAGAAUUUAGCAAUCUAGCAGCUAGUUGGCUUGGAUUUAUCAUUUUAUGUCAUCUGAUGAUUGGAAUGUCCUUAAAAUCCAAGCAAACAAUACUGAUUUUUACCUCUGCCUGUCAGUCAACAAUUACCUUGAUCACAAGUCUAGUAUAUUUCACUUCCAUAUUACCAUGCCUGUGUUUAUGUCUUAAGAUUACUAAUUCUUUGAGGUUGAACUCUCAACAGGCCUUACAUUUGCAUACACUGAAAGUGUCAGUUUUCCAUUGCUUCAUAUUCUCACGGGACACUUUACUAUCAAUGGCUUUAAUUUUUCCAGCUAAGAAGAUGUGAUCUGUUUCAAAAUCCCUGGCAUGCUGUUUUCAUCAAAGACUAGAACCAUUUUGACAAUUAUUGAAGCAAUUUUAAUUUGAUUUUUGUGUUGACAGGGCAUAGGCCUUAAGAAUAUAAGCAAGGGAGAAUAAAUCUAUGAUUCUUUGAUAGCGAUAGACUGGGCUAGUCCUGAGACCAUAGAUAGCAUAUACCAAUCCCUUAUAAGAGAAAGUAGCUAGAUGUGAGAGGGAAUAUGUAUGCAUAUCUUGAGAUUGGUCAAUUGAGCAAGAAUAAUAUUAUUUUGAAGAGGUUGAAUUUCUAUGAUAUGCACAAUCCCAGCAUCCAUUCUUUGGUACACUAUUAAACUCCAGAGGUUAACAACAGAGAGAAACCAGUUAUAAUUUCUCGUCAUUAUAAAUAUUAUGUCCUAUAUGAUAUAAUAACUUUAAUAGAUGAUUGAGGUCCAAAUUUUUGCUUUGUUA